UUUUGUGUGUUUUUGUUUGUUUUAUGACUUGGUGCUGUACAGUGUAUUUUAGGUCUGGAAAAGGUGUAAGUUGGCAGCACUUUUUUACUGUUCCUGGCUCACAACUAUUUGAAGUUAUGUUUUGAUCUCACAAAAAACAUGACAACAAAUACGGGCUCGCAAAAGUUGGAUUUCUAAAAGUUUUAAAAAAUGGACAUUUUUGCAAACCGGAUGCAGGAGCACCGCAGAAAAUUGAAAGAGGACCCAGCUGCCUAUAAAGCCCACCUGGCUAAAGAAAGGCUGAGAGACAAGAUUAGGAAACAGCGAAGAAGAGAAUAUUUAAAAAAUCAUCCAUCAGAUGCGGAGGCUGUUAAGAAGAAAGAUGCAGAACGGAAGCGCCGCAAAAGAGCAGAACAGAAAAUUUUUUUCAUUUUUUUUUUGUUUUUUAUUGCCUUAAAUGCAAUUCUUUUUUUUGGUUAUUUGUCUACUACGUUUAAGAUAAAAUUUCAACCUCUGUUCACAAUUUUCACUAUUUAUAUUGACAAUUUUAUUCAAGCGACAACCACUAAAAAGUUUUAAAACUUUUGAAUCCACCGUUUACGUUUCGAAACAAAAUUUAAAAACACUCAAGUUUUUCUGUUCCGCCCACUCCAUUUAUUCCUAUAUUUGUUUAGACAUAGUAUAACUUCUCAUUUAUUUGAUACUCACACCGUGCCAUUGAAGUAUUACUAUUAUUAUUAUUAUUUUUGGUACUAGUUACUAUUUAUUUUUCCUCGAGCUUUUGUUUCUUUAUUAUUAUUUUCUUUGAUGUUUCUGCCAGUAAAACAUUAAUAAAGUUCAAAUUUUGAUUUAAAAGAAA
Molecule: non-coding RNA, 838 nt
Organism: Bemisia tabaci
Lineage: Eukaryota; Metazoa; Arthropoda; Insecta; Hemiptera; Aleyrodidae
Source: RefSeq, a predicted model, not a curated record